Molecule: ribosomal RNA, 274 nt
Filed under: uncultured bacterium
Lineage: Bacteria
Description: partial 16S ribosomal RNA
Rfam family: Bacterial small subunit ribosomal RNA
Source: RNAcentral
AUACAGAGGGUGCGAGCGUUAAUCGGAAUUACUGGGCGUAAAGCGCGCGUAGGCGGCUUAUUAAGUCAGAUGUGAAAUCCCCGGGCUCAACCUGGGAACUGCAUCUGAUACUGGUAAGCUAGAGUUUGGGAGAGGGAAGUAGAAUUUCAGGUGUAGCGGUGAAAUGCAUAGAGAUCUGAAGGAAUACCAGUGGCGAAGGCGACUUCCUGGCCUAAAACUGACACUGAGGUGCGAAAGCGUGGGUAGCAAACGGGAUUAGAAACCCGUGUAGUCC